Molecule: ribosomal RNA, 253 nt
Filed under: uncultured bacterium
Lineage: Bacteria
Description: partial 16S ribosomal RNA
Rfam family: Archaeal small subunit ribosomal RNA
Source: RNAcentral
UACCAGCACCCCGAGUGGUCGGGACGUUUAUUGGGCCUAAAGCAUCCGUAGCCGGUUCUACAAGUCUUCCGUUAAAUCCAGCUGCUUAACAGAUGGGCUGCGGAAGAUACUAUGGAGCUAGGAGGCGGGAGAGGCAAGCGGUACUCGAUGGGUAGGGGUAAAAUCCGUUGAUCCAUUGAAGACCACCAGCGGCGAAGGCGGCUUGCCAGAACGCGCUCGACGGUGAGGGAUGAAAGCUGGGGGAGCAAACCGG